Tachysurus fulvidraco (yellow catfish) is the source of this 1002-nucleotide long non-coding RNA. RefSeq lists it as uncharacterized. The record is from RefSeq and is a predicted model, not a curated record. The transcript has 3 exons. Lineage: Eukaryota; Metazoa; Chordata; Actinopteri; Siluriformes; Bagridae.
GACGCGCUUGGUUCCUGCCUGGUUCUAUAGAGACAGCGGUGCGGACAGAUACAUUUUGGGCGCUGCGGCAUAUUAAAUAUAUGAUAAAUAGUCAAAAAAAUGUUCUGCGUGAGAAAUACAAUGUAUGGCGGGAGAGCAUGAGAAAAGAUGCAUGACUGUCACUCUCAAUGUGUGACUCUUGAGAGCCCUGUAUUAAGCUUAUCAACUUCUUUAAUAUCACACACAUCAUAUAUGAUACUGUACAUUUAAGUUUACUAUUGAUUCAGUAUAAUACUGUGUUUGCUUAUUUCCUUGUUUGUAAAUGCAUUUGAUUUUUUAAAGCUUAAUAUAACCUUUUCAUGCAGUUUUGUUUGUACAUAUAAAAAGGGUACAGGAUGAAAAAUAAAACUUACAGGAUGGAAUGAAAUGACAGGGUCUGUAAAGUGGUCUUUUCCUGUUCACUUGGUGUCUCUGUUGAGGAGUAACACCAGGAAAACUAGAUUUGAGGUUUGUGUGCCUCAGUUUUUCCUGGUUUAUUGUCAUAUUAACCUUUUUAUCAGAAAUGAUUAUCUUUUACCAUAGAGAUUGAAAAACUGUAUGAAUAACAGAAGGUGGAUCAUCAGCAAGUUCAGGAAGAAGAAAAUCACACAAAUGAAUUCUGCUUGCUAGUGUGAACUGAGUGUGAGACCAAGAGGCUUAACCUGAGAUCACACUAGCAAGCAGAAGUCACUCAUUUCAUGUGUUGUGAAGAAAUAGCAAGGUUCAGAAAUACAAGCUGUCUAUAAAGAUAUAAGUUUUAAGCUCUGCAAAAUGGACGGUACUGAAAACUAUCACUCUCCAACAGACAUAGAGGAUGAUAUUUAUGUGAAUACAGAAGACUGUCGCGCAGAGCUGAAAAAUUCAGAUAUGUCUGACCGCACUGAGCUGAAAGACAAGAAGAAUCCAGGAAAGAUCUUCAGAUAUGCUUUUGGUCUCCUCCUAAUACUUGGUGUUUUAUUACCACUCUGUGUUGUAGGGAUCCUU